RNAcentral lists this ribosomal RNA (301 nucleotides) under uncultured bacterium. RNAcentral describes it as "partial 16S ribosomal RNA". It matches the Rfam family "Bacterial small subunit ribosomal RNA", at positions 509 to 807 of the family's 1533-position model. The record is from RNAcentral.
CAGUAGCCGCGGGAAUACGAACCGUGCGAACGUUAUUCGGAAUUACUGGGCUUAAAGCGCGUGUAGGCGGGCCGCCACGUCGGUUGCUGAAAUCCCCCGGCUCAACCGGGGAAGUGGCAUCGAUACGAGCGGCCUUGAGGGGGGUAGGGGGAUCUGGAACUUCCGGUGGAGCGGUGAAAUGCGUUGAGAUCGGAAGGAACGCCCGUGGCGAAAGCGAGGUCCUGGACCCUUUCUGACGCUGAGACGCGAAAGCCAGGGGAGCGAACGGGAUUAGAUACCCCCGUAGUCCCUGUCUCUUAUA